GACGAACGCUGGCGGCAUGCCUAACACAUGCAAGUCGAACGGAGAUUAUUUCGGUAAUCUUAGUGGCGAACGGGUGAGUAACGCGUGGGCAACCUGCCCUCUAGAUGGGGACAACAUCCCGAAAGGGGUGCUAAUACCGAAUGUGACAGCAAUCUCGCAUGAGGAUGCUGUGAAAGAUGGCCUCUAUUUAUCAGCUAUCGCUAGAGGAUGGGCCUGCGUCUGAUUAGCUAGUUGGUGGGGUAACGGCCUACCAAGGCGAUGAUCAGUAGCCGGUCUGAGAGGAUGAACGGCCACAUUGGGACUGAGACACGGCCCAGACUCCUACGGGAGGCAGCAGUGGGGAAUCUUCCGCAAUGGGCGAAAGCCUGACGGAGCAAUGCCGCGUGAGUGAUGAAGGAAUUCGUUCCGUAAAGCUCUUUUGUUUAUGACGAAUGUGCAGAUUGUGAACAAUGAUCUGUAAUGACGGUAGUAAACGAAUAAGCCACGGCUAACUACGUG
This 498-nucleotide ribosomal RNA is filed under the name uncultured bacterium. Its description in RNAcentral is "partial 16S ribosomal RNA". It matches the Rfam family "Bacterial small subunit ribosomal RNA", at positions 28 to 507 of the family's 1533-position model. The record is from RNAcentral.